ACCUACGGGGGGCAGCAGUAGGGAAUUUUCGUCAAUGGGCGCAAGCCUGAACGAACAAUGCCGCGUGAACGAGGAAGGUCUUCGGAUCGUAAAGUUCUGUUGAAGGGGAAAAAGAGCGGAGAGAGGAAAUGGUCUCCGAUUGAUAUUACCCUUCGAGGAAGUCACGGCUAACUACGUGCCAGCAGCCGCGGUAAUACGUAGGUGGCGAGCGUUAUCCGGAAUGAUUGGGCGUAAAGGGUGCGUAGGCGGCCUGCUAAGUCUGGAGUGAAAGGUACCGGCUCAACCGGUACAGGCUCCGGAAACUG
This 305-nucleotide ribosomal RNA is filed under the name uncultured bacterium. RNAcentral describes it as "bacterial SSU rRNA". It matches the Rfam family "Bacterial small subunit ribosomal RNA", at positions 337 to 635 of the family's 1533-position model. The record is from RNAcentral.